UUAAAUUGAAGAGUUUGAUCAUGGCUCAGAUUGAACGCUGGCGGCAGGCCUAACACAUGCAAGUCGAACGGUAACAGGAAGCAGCUUGCUGCUUUGCUGACGAGUGGCGGACGGGUGAGUAAUGUCUGGGAAACUGCCUGAUGGAGGGGGAUAACUACUGGAAACGGUGGCUAAUACCGCAUAACGUCGCAAGACCAAAGAGGGGGACCUUCGGGCCUCUUGCCAUCAGAUGUGCCCAGAUGGGAUUAGCUUGUUGGUGAGGUAACGGCUCACCAAGGCGACGAUCCCUAGCUGGUCUGAGAGGAUGACCAGCCACACUGGAACUGAGACACGGUCCAGACUCCUACGGGAGGCAGCAGUGGGGAAUAUUGCACAAUGGGCGCAAGCCUGAUGCAGCCAUGCCGCGUGUAUGAAGAAGGCCUUCGGGUUGUAAAGUACUUUCAGCGGGGAGGAAGGUGUUGUGGUUAAUAACCACAGCAAUUGACGUUACCCGCAGAAGAAGCACCGGCUAACUCCGUGCCAGCAGCCGCGGUAAUACGGAGGGUGCAAGCGUUAAUCGGAAUUACUGGGCGUAAAGCGCACGCAGGCGGUCUGUCAAGUCGGAUGUGAAAUCCCCGGGCUCAACCUGGGAACUGCAUUCGAAACUGGCAGGCUUGAGUCUUGUAGAGGGGGGUAGAAUUCCAGGUGUAGCGGUGAAAUGCGUAGAGAUCUGGAGGAAUACCGGUGGCGAAGGCGGCCCCCUGGACAAAGACUGACGCUCAGGUGCGAAAGCGUGGGGAGCAAACAGGAUUAGAUACCCUGGUAGUCCACGCCGUAAACGAUGUCUACUUGGAGGUUGUGCCCUUGAGGCGUGGCUUCCGGAGCUAACGCGUUAAGUAGACCGCCUGGGGAGUACGGCCGCAAGGUUAAAACUCAAAUGAAUUGACGGGGGCCCGCACAAGCGGUGGAGCAUGUGGUUUAAUUCGAUGCAACGCGAAGAACCUUACCUGGUCUUGACAUCCACGGAAGUUUUCAGAGAUGAGAAUGUGCCUUCGGGAACCGUGAGACAGGUGCUGCAUGGCUGUCGUCAGCUCGUGUUGUGAAAUGUUGGGUUAAGUCCCGCAACGAGCGCAACCCUUAUCCUUUGUUGCCAGCGGUUAGGCCGGGAACUCAAAGGAGACUGCCAGUGAUAAACUGGAGGAAGGUGGGGAUGACGUCAAGUCAUCAUGGCCCUUACGACCAGGGCUACACACGUGCUACAAUGGCGCAUACAAAGAGAAGCGACCUCGCGAGAGCAAGCGGACCUCAUAAAGUGCGUCGUAGUCCGGAUUGGAGUCUGCAACUCGACUCCAUGAAGUCGGAAUCGCUAGUAAUCGUGGAUCAGAAUGCCACGGUGAAUACGUUCCCGGGCCUUGUACACACCGCCCGUCACACCAUGGGAGUGGGUUGCAAAAGAAGUAGGUAGCUUAACCUUCGGGAGGGCGCUUACCACUUUGUGAUUCAUGACUGGGGUGAAGUCGUAACAAGGUAACCGUAGGGGAACCUGCGGUUGGAUCACCUCCUUACCUUAAAGAA
This 1554-nucleotide ribosomal RNA is filed under the name Salmonella enterica subsp. enterica serovar Heidelberg. RNAcentral describes it as "bacterial SSU rRNA". It matches the Rfam family "Bacterial small subunit ribosomal RNA". The record is from RNAcentral. Lineage: Bacteria; Pseudomonadati; Pseudomonadota; Gammaproteobacteria; Enterobacterales; Enterobacteriaceae. RNAcentral also lists the same sequence under 2 other names.